Non-coding RNA from Erythranthe guttata (spotted monkey flower), 725 nucleotides. The record is from RefSeq and is a predicted model, not a curated record. Lineage: Eukaryota; Viridiplantae; Streptophyta; Magnoliopsida; Lamiales; Phrymaceae.
CCAAAAAUCACGUUACCGUAUAAUUCUACCAAAUAUUUCUCCCCCAAAUCACGGUAAAAUGAACCACUCCGGCAUAGCCCAUUGUCCCUCGUUUUCAGAAUUUCCCAAAUCACGGUAGAAAUUGUUCUUAAUUUAUCCUGAAACUAGAAGCGAAAACCGCUAGAGGCGAAUUCUUGUUUUUGUACAACGGCAAGAUGGUACAGAAAUCAGAAGCAAAAAGAAAGAGAAAAUCCAAAAUCGGUCCCGACAUUAUCCAGUUAGAUGCUGGUUAUUGGUUCAGAAAUCAUAGAAGAAAACGACAUGGGCGUCCAAGUGUCGAGAUUUCUUGAAGGCUACAGAGAAGGAAGUGUAAUACAAAAACAAAUAUAAGGUCCAACCUUAGUCGGAUUCAUAAACUCGCAAUUCGGUGUUAGAAUUGCUCUCAUCUUAAUUUUCGUGGUGGUGGUAAUGGCUAUGAUCCUGUUUAUGACUAAAGGACAACCUCUGACUGUUGGCACUCGACACCAGUCCGAUGAUGUAAGGACUGAUAAGGAGGAUUGAUUGUGUAACACGCAUCGUUUCAAUUUUGCGCAUAAUUAUUUCGCUUUGUUCUUUAAUUCAGACAAGUUGAGAUAGAUUCUUGUUGUUAUUGCUAAAUUAUACGAACUUUGAUGAACAUCAAGUUCGUUUCUGUACAAAGUACUGGUAUGUAUUAUUACUUUUUACGAGGAAUCUUUGGUAUUUCC